GAUCCGAUCCGAUCCGAUCCGAUCCGAUCCGAUCCGAUCCGAUCCGAUCCGAUCCGAUCCGAUCCGAUCCGAUCCGAUCCGAUCCGAUCCGAUCCCUUUCUGCGGGAGGUGGGCAGCGGUGUCCCCUCGCCGUGUCUGCUGUGUGCGCAAUGAGUGAGUGGGGAGGAAAAAGGGAAUUGCCUGUACUGUAGCUUAGGGUAAUUUGAGGAGGUUUGGCAUCGCCUCAGCCAUUUUGUUGUUUAGGAAGCGGGAGCAGCUUCCCCCAUCCCUGUUGCCAUGUAUCUUUUUCCCAGGUGCUGACUUUUCCCCUGAGGAGAUGCUGCCCUAUUUGGGAUCCCCAGAGACUGGGUGUACAAGACGGACUGCCGUGAUUAUUUUUGGGUUCAACGCAGAUUUCCUUGAGCAAUGGAGCAAGCGUGCCAAGAGACACAGUUCCUGCGCUCUGCUCGCCCUGGGCCCUGCCAGGAGCCUGCACCGCUGAGGGGACACCGAGGGAGCCCGGUGAAAUGCCCCAUCACCAGCCGAGCUGCGGCUGGCCCCUGCACCAGCCGUGCGGGGAGCAGCACUGACAGGAGCACGGCGAGAUGCUCCACACUGAGGCUGCUGGAGCCUGGGAGUAAACAAGUUAUCCAGCUCCCCCUGGCCCUCCGUUCCCUGAGCAGAUCCAGAAUUUGGGCUGCGGGUGACAAAAUGCUCCAAAGCCUUUUUGGAAACCUGGGCCAGUYUGUGAGGGAGAGUAAGGUUUGUUCCCACCAACAAGUGGCUGCAGAGGCCCCAUCUCUCCGGUAA
Molecule: long non-coding RNA, 789 nt
Filed under: Dromaius novaehollandiae (emu)
Lineage: Eukaryota; Metazoa; Chordata; Aves; Casuariiformes; Dromaiidae
Description: lncRNA (ENSDNVG00000016706.1)
Source: RNAcentral